AUGCUAGAUGAUGUCUUUGCUGCACAGCCGACACCUCCGUCACAUUCAGCGAAUGAACCGGAGGAAACCACAAAGGCCUUCCUGGAAAUCUUGGCCUCGUCAAAGAAACCUCUCUAUGAGGGUGCCAAGCUGUCUGUGCUGGAUGCCAUCUCGCAACUGAUGGCAGUCAAGGCUGAGUACGGCUGUAGCCAAGGUUGCUUCGAAGCAUUUCUGGGAGUAUGGGCUAACAGCCUGCCUGAGGGCCAUGAACUGCCGAAAACCAUGUACGCUACGAAGAAAAUCAUGAAGGCGCUCUCCUUGGACUAUGAG
Molecule: ribosomal RNA, 309 nt
Filed under: Triticum aestivum (bread wheat)
Lineage: Eukaryota; Viridiplantae; Streptophyta; Magnoliopsida; Poales; Poaceae
Description: partial small subunit ribosomal RNA
Source: RNAcentral